GUAGUACUCCCUCCGUCCCAAAUUACUUGUCUUAGAUUUGUCUAGAUACGGAUGUAUUAGUGUUAGAUACAUCCGUAUGUAGACAAAUCUAAGACAAGUAAUUCGGGGCGGAGAUUGUACUUG
This is a non-coding RNA of Triticum aestivum (bread wheat), 123 nucleotides long. Lineage: Eukaryota; Viridiplantae; Streptophyta; Magnoliopsida; Poales; Poaceae. The record is from Rfam.